RNAcentral lists this ribosomal RNA (463 nucleotides) under uncultured bacterium. RNAcentral's name for it is "partial 16S ribosomal RNA". It matches the Rfam family "Bacterial small subunit ribosomal RNA", at positions 29 to 506 of the family's 1533-position model. The record is from RNAcentral.
ACGAACGCUGGCGGCGUGCUUAACACCUGCCAGUCGAACGGAAAGGCCCCUUUGGGGGUACUCGAGUGGCGAACGGGUGAGUAACACGUGAGUAACCUGCCCUUGACUUCGGGAUAACUUCAGGAAACUGGGGCUAAUACCGGAUAGGAAUCCUUGCUGCAUGGUGGGGGUUGGAAAGCUUCGGCGGUUUUGGAUGGACUCGCGGCUUAUCAGCUUGUUGGUGGGGUAGUGGCUUACCAAGGCUUUGACGGGUAGCCGGCCUGAGAGGGCGACCGGCCACAUUGGGACUGAGAUACGGCCCAGACUCCUACGGGAGGCAGCAGUGGGGAAUAUUGCACAAUGGGCGGAAGCCUGAUGCAGCAACGCCGCGUGCGGGAUGACGGCCUUCGGGUUGUAAACCGCUUUCAGCAGGGGCGAAGCUUGUGGUGACGGUACCUGCAGAAGAAGCACCGGCUAACUACGU